GACGAACGCUGGCGGCGUGCCUAAUACAUGCAAGUAGAACGCUGAAGAGAGGAGCUUGCUCUUCUUGGAUGAGUUGCGAACGGGUGAGUAACGCGUAGGUAACCUGCCUUGUAGCGGGGGAUAACUAUUGGAAACGAUAGCUAAUACCGCAUAACAAUGGAUGACACAUGUCAUUUAUUUGAAAGGGGCAAUUGCUCCACUACAAGAUGGACCUGCGUUGUAUUAGCUAGUAGGUGAGGUAAUGGCUCACCUAGGCGACGAUACAUAGCCGACCUGAGAGGGUGAUCGGCCACACUGGGACUGGGACACGGCCCAGACUCCUACGGGAGGCAGCAGUAGGGAAUCUUCGGCAAUGGGGGCAACCCUGACCGAGCAACGCCGCGUGAGUGAAGAAGGUUUUCGGAUCGUAAAGCUCUGUUGUAAGUCGAGAACGGGUGUGAGAGUGGAAAGUUCACACUGUGACGGUAGCUUACCAGAAAGGGACGGCUAACUACGUG
Molecule: ribosomal RNA, 497 nt
Filed under: uncultured bacterium
Lineage: Bacteria
Description: partial 16S ribosomal RNA
Rfam family: Bacterial small subunit ribosomal RNA
Source: RNAcentral